Molecule: ribosomal RNA, 253 nt
Filed under: uncultured bacterium
Lineage: Bacteria
Description: partial 16S ribosomal RNA
Rfam family: Bacterial small subunit ribosomal RNA
Source: RNAcentral
UACAGAGGUCCCAAGCGUUGUUCGGAUUCACUGGGCGUAAAGGGUGCGUAGGUGGUUAGGUAAGUCCGAUGUGAAAUCUCCAGGCUCAACCUGGAAAUGGCAUUGGAUACUAUUUAGCUUGAGGAGUGGAGGGGGGACUGGAAUUCUCGGUGUAGCAGUGAAAUGCGUAGAUAUCGAGAGGAACACCAGUGGCGAAGGCGAGUCCCUGGACACUUCCUGGCACUGAGGCACGAAAGCUAGGGGAGCAAACAGG